AUUGAACGCUGGCGGCAGGCCUAACACAUGCAAGUCGAACGGUAACAGGAAACAGCUUGCUGUUUCGCUGACGAGUGGCGGACGGGUGAGUAAUGUCUGGGAAACUGCCUGAUGGAGGGGGAUAACUACUGGAAACGGUAGCUAAUACCGCAUAACGUCGCAAGACCAAAGAGGGGGACCCUCGGGCCUCUUGCCAUCGGAUGUGCCCAGAUGGGAUUAGCUUGUUGGUGGGGUAACGGCUCACCAAGGCGACGCUCCCUAGCUGGUCUGAGAGGAUGACCAGCCACACUGGAACUGAGACACGGUCCAGACUCCUACGGGAGGCAGCAGUGGGGAAUAUUGCACAAUGGGCGCAAGCCUGAUGCAGCCAUGCCGCGUGUAUGAAGAAGGCCUUCGGGUUGUAAAGUACUUUCAGCGGGGAGGAAGGGAGUAAAGUUAAUACCUUUGCUCAUUGACGUUACCCGCAGAAGAAGCACCGGCUAACUCCGUG
This 490-nucleotide ribosomal RNA is filed under the name uncultured bacterium. RNAcentral describes it as "partial 16S ribosomal RNA". It matches the Rfam family "Bacterial small subunit ribosomal RNA", at positions 30 to 507 of the family's 1533-position model. The record is from RNAcentral.